AGUUCGGAUUGGAGUCUGCAACUCGACUCCAUGAAGCCGGAAUCGCUAGUAAUCGUAGGUCAGCCAUACUACGGUGAAUACGUUCCCGGGCCUUGUACACACCGCCCGUCAAGCGAUGGAAGCUGGGGGUACCCGAAGCCGGUGGCCUAACCUUCGGGAGGGAGCCGUCGAAGGUAAACUCAGUGACUGGCGCUAAGUCGUAACAAGGUAGCCGUAGGGGAACCUGCGGCUGGAUCACCUCCUUU
RNAcentral lists this ribosomal RNA (245 nucleotides) under Candidatus Palauibacter australiensis. RNAcentral's name for it is "partial 16S ribosomal RNA". It matches the Rfam family "Bacterial small subunit ribosomal RNA", at positions 1290 to 1533 of the family's 1533-position model. RNAcentral also lists the same sequence under 1 other name. Lineage: Bacteria; Pseudomonadati; Gemmatimonadota; Gemmatimonadia; Candidatus Palauibacterales; Candidatus Palauibacteraceae. The record is from RNAcentral.